GGCGGCCCUGGCCGGGAUCGGGCGCGGCGCCGGUGCCGGUGCCCAGGUCCGGCGCGGCGCCGGGCUCCGCGGUGCGGAACCGCCAGGCCGCCACC
RNAcentral lists this transfer RNA (95 nucleotides) under Cellulomonas pakistanensis. Its description in RNAcentral is "tRNA-Thr". The record is from RNAcentral. Lineage: Bacteria; Bacillati; Actinomycetota; Actinomycetes; Micrococcales; Cellulomonadaceae.